GUGGGGAAUAUUGCGCAAUGGGGGAAACCCUGACGCAGCAAUACCGCGUGAGUGAAGAAGGUUUUCGGAUCGUAAAACUCUUUUAUUGGGGAAGAAGAAGUGACGGUACCCAAUGAAGAAGUCCCGGCUAACUACGUGCCAGCAGCCGCGGUAAUACGUAGGGGACAAGCGUUGUCCGGAAUCACUGGGCGUAAAGGGCGCGUAGGCGGUUUUAUAAGUCAGAUGUGAAAGGUACCGGCUCAACCGGUGACGUGCAUUUGAGACUGUAAGACUUGAGUACUGGAGAGGCAAGUGGAAUUCCUAGUGUAGCGGUGAAAUGCGUAGAUAUUAGGAGGAACACCGGUGGCGAAGGCGGCUUGCUGGACAGAUACUGACGCUGAGGUGCGAAAGCGUGGGGAGCGAACAGGAUUAGAAACCCUAGUAGUCC
Molecule: ribosomal RNA, 427 nt
Filed under: uncultured bacterium
Lineage: Bacteria
Description: partial 16S ribosomal RNA
Rfam family: Bacterial small subunit ribosomal RNA
Source: RNAcentral